GUCGAGAAUCUUUCACAAUGGGGGCAACCCUGAUGGAGCGACGCCGCGUGGAGGAUAAGGUCUUCGGAUUGUAAACUCCUGUCAUGCGUGAACAAGGUUGCUUGGAUAAUACCUGAGCAAAUUGAUGGUAGCGCAAGAGGAAGAGACGGCUAACUCUGUGCCAGCAGCCGCGGUAAUACAGAGGUCUCAAGCGUUGUCCGGAAUCACUGGGCGUAAAGGGUGCGUAGGUGGCGUGGCAAGUCAGAUGUCAAAGCCCGGGGCUCAACCUCGGAAAUGCAUCCAAUACUGCCAGGAUAGAGUACUGGAGGGGUGACUAGAAUUCUCGGGGUAGCAGUGAAAUGCGUAGAUAUCGAGAGGAAUACCAAAGGCGUAGGCAGGUCACUGGGCAGUUACUGACACUGAGGCACGAAGGCCAGGGGAGCGAACGGGAUUAGAUACCCUAGUAGUCC
RNAcentral lists this ribosomal RNA (449 nucleotides) under uncultured bacterium. RNAcentral describes it as "partial 16S ribosomal RNA". It matches the Rfam family "Bacterial small subunit ribosomal RNA", at positions 354 to 796 of the family's 1533-position model. The record is from RNAcentral.